CUGGAACAUGUUCAUCACAGACCAGUUUCCCUUUAUUACAGCAACAGUAACAAUGGAUCCAGCAGCCAAUCGCAGCUGAGAGGCGGGGCUCAGGUCGCCGGCAGAUCACAGGGCUCGCAAACAACCAAUCACACUCAUAUUCACUCCCAGCUCCAGCUGACCUGAGCUGCAUGUGUUGGCACUGGGGACAAACCCCCCACGGGGACACAUGCCACCAGCCGGUCGAGUUUCAAACCCCGAGUCGUCGCGUCUCUGCCCGUCACACACACGUGAAGCAAAGCACACGAGAACAGAAACUUCAAUCACCGCGAACGGAUCUGAGACUUCGCCUCGUCUCACUCUGGACGUUCAUGAGCUCCGUCUCCGCCUGCAGACGUCGGUCGAGAGGCUUCAAAGCGUUUCCUUCUCCUCCCUCCCUCCGCCUCGGUCGAGUCUCAAUCCCUGGAGAAGUGAAGCCGAUGAAAGAGCUUUACCAAUAUUCAGAUUAUAGAAGACUCAAGAAUAACAAGGAGGGGAAAUGUAAUCAGGCGAGAAGGUGAGAUGACAGAAGUAAAUCAUAAUACUCCUCCAGCAGUGGCAGAGGAGAACAGAAGCACAACGUUCCUUUGUCCGAGGUUUCAAACCACGACACUCAAACUAACAUCCACAUCACUCUGAGGUCUCGGUAGGAUUUCUUUAUGAGAACUGUUUCAAAUCCAGAAACAAUUCCCAAUCUUUCUUUCUUUUUCAUUAUUAUCUCCUGCUAAACAUUGGCCCCACAUGUACAUAUAGUAAACAUCCUCAGAGGCCACGGGUCAGUGUCACUGCAACAUCUUAUUAAAUAUGUACCUCCACCGGC
Scophthalmus maximus (turbot) is the source of this 838-nucleotide long non-coding RNA. RefSeq lists it as uncharacterized. The record is from RefSeq and is a predicted model, not a curated record. Lineage: Eukaryota; Metazoa; Chordata; Actinopteri; Pleuronectiformes; Scophthalmidae. The transcript is spliced from 2 exons.